GGUUCAGAACGUCGUGAGACAGUUCGGUCCCUAUCCGUCGCGGGCGCAGGAAAUUUGAGAGGAGCUGUCCUUAGUACGAGAGGACCGGGAUGGACACACCGCUGGUGUACCAGUUGUUCCGCCAGGAGCAUCGCUGGGUAGCUAUGUGUGGCAGGGAUAAACGCUGAAAGCAUCUAAGCGUGAAGCCCCCCUCAAGAUGAGAUUUCCCAUUUCUUCGGAAAGUAAGAUCCCUGAAAGAUGAUCAGGUAGAUAGGUUUGGAGUGGAAGUGUAGCGAUACAUGGAGCGGACAAAUACUAAUCGAUCGAGGACUUAACCAA
Molecule: ribosomal RNA, 318 nt
Filed under: Listeria monocytogenes
Lineage: Bacteria; Bacillati; Bacillota; Bacilli; Caryophanales; Listeriaceae
Description: partial 23S ribosomal RNA
Rfam family: Bacterial large subunit ribosomal RNA
Source: RNAcentral